CCUACGGGAGGCAGCAGUGGGGAAUAUUGGACAAUGGGCGGAAGCCUGAUCCAGCCAUGCCGCGUGUGUGAAGAAGGCCUUUUGGUUGUAAAGCACUUUAAGCGAGGAGGAGGCUACUAGUAUUAAUACUACUGGAUAGUGGACGUUACUCGCAGAAUAAGCACCGGCUAACUCUGUGCCAGCAGCCGCGGUAAUACAGAGGGUGCGAGCGUUAAUCGGAUUUACUGGGCGUAAAGCGUGCGUAGGCGGCUGAUUAAGUCGGAUGUGAAAUCCCUGAGCUUAACUUAGGAAUUGCAUUCGAUACUGGUCAGCUAGAGUAUGGGAGAGGAUGGUAGAAUUCCAGGUGUAGCGGUGAAAUGCGUAGAGAUCUGGAGGAAUACCGAUGGCGAAGGCAGCCAUCUGGCCUAAUACUGACGCUGAGGUACGAAAGCAUGGGGAGCAAACAGGAUUAGAUACCCUGGUAGUCCAUGCCGUAAACGAUGUCUACUAGCCGUUGGGGUCUUUGAGACUUUAGUGGCGCAGCUAACGCGAUAAGUAGACCGCCUGGGGAGUACGGUCGCAAGACUAAAACGUCAAAUGAAUUGAGGCUUGGAGACGNGCGACGGACGACGAGAGGGAGAGG
Molecule: ribosomal RNA, 622 nt
Filed under: uncultured bacterium
Lineage: Bacteria
Description: bacterial SSU rRNA
Rfam family: Bacterial small subunit ribosomal RNA
Source: RNAcentral